Molecule: long non-coding RNA, 237 nt
Organism: Fukomys damarensis (Damara mole-rat)
Lineage: Eukaryota; Metazoa; Chordata; Mammalia; Rodentia; Bathyergidae
Exons: 3
Source: RefSeq, a predicted model, not a curated record
UCAGGGUGUUGGGUUCAGUCCCGGGGUGGGGCGGUGGCCUAUACAGGAGCAUGAACAGCGGUGACAGGGUGUCACAGAUACAAACUCCAUCCUACAAGGCGAUGCCCGGCCGCAAGAGGGACAGCCACCGAACCUCACAUGUCCUGAACCGUUUUCAUGUACAGAGCAAAGAUGCACAGCUGCUGAGAAGAACCGCAGAGACAGAACAAAGGUUUGUGCAGUAACAUUGGAGCUUGA